GACGAACGCUGGCGGCGUGCCUAAUACAUGCAAGUAGAACGCACAGUUUAUACCGUAGCUUGCUGCACCAUAGACUGUGAGUUGCGAACGGGUGAGUAACGCGUAGGUAACCUGCCUGGCAGCGGGGGAUAACUAUUGGAAACGAUAGCUAAUACCGCAUAAUAUUAAUUAUUGCAUGAUAAUUAAUUGAAAGGUGCAAUUGCACCACUACCAGAUGGACCUGCGUUGUAUUAGCUAGUAGGUGAGGUAACGGCUCACCUAGGCGACGAUACAUAGCCGACCUGAGAGGGUGAUCGGCCACACUGGGACUGAGACACGGCCCAGACUCCUACGGGAGGCAGCAGUAGGGAAUCUUCGGCAAUGGACGAAAGUCUGACCGAGCAACGCCGCGUGAGUGAAGAAGGUUUUCGGAUCGUAAAGCUCUGUUGUAAGAGAAGAACGGGUGUGAGAGUGGAAAGUUCACACUGUGACGGUAUCUUACCAGAAAGGGACGGCUAACUACGUG
Molecule: ribosomal RNA, 505 nt
Filed under: uncultured bacterium
Lineage: Bacteria
Description: partial 16S ribosomal RNA
Rfam family: Bacterial small subunit ribosomal RNA
Source: RNAcentral